RNAcentral lists this long non-coding RNA (1846 nucleotides) under Daphnia pulicaria. Its description in RNAcentral is "uncharacterized LOC124340689". Lineage: Eukaryota; Metazoa; Arthropoda; Branchiopoda; Diplostraca; Daphniidae. The record is from RNAcentral.
GAUAGCUGAUACCGCAGACUUCUGUAGUCUCUGAUAUUACCACACUGUUUUGGUUUCGGAUUUUGGCUUUAUUGUGUAGGUUGUUUCGUUACUUACUAAGACCAUGAUGUAGUUCGAGAGGCUAAAUACGUAGAUAUAGAUCUGGAAGCUUAUCUUUUGAUUUUUAACUUAGAUCAAUUACAUUUUUAAGGUGUGAAGGGGUAUAUAAGCUGACCAGAUGCAAGGUAGUUUAUCAUGAGAAAUAGUCACCUCCUUGAUUACAUGGGUGUGUCAUUUGACUUUUUUGAGAUAUUUACUUGAUAUUAUAUCUAUAUUUUGUGAUAUUGCAAUUUCACUGCCAUUCAGGCCAGAAAGUUUAAUUUUUUUAUCAUACAUGUGAUAAUGGCAGAGAUGAUUAGAUCCAAAUGCUUGACGGCAUUUGCUAAUGUAAACAGAUUUCUUUUCAGCCUCAUUCACUAUGUAUUAUAUCCAGGUUCCUUUGGUGAGUAAUGGAAAUAACACUGCAGCUCAUCUGAAUAAAAUGCAUCAAGAGCAAUGAAAGGGGCAUGGAGCCAAGGAGCCAUGGAUAUGCAAAGACUGGCUGGCUAAGGGGUUAAAGUUCUUUGAGAUAUAUUGAUGGGUGAACAAAGUUAGACAUCCUCAAUCAUGUGAAUGUUUCCUGAAAAGUUUUAUAGAGACACAGAAAAUAUUCCUUAAAUUAGUUAUUUUUUCAUUGUGGGUGAUGUAACAGAACAUUUAAAGACAGUUAUAUAUAAUAUUCCGUUUUUUUAGCGAUGGGAGUGGUAACUGUAAUGGGUCGAUUCGCAUGAUUCUCCAAUAGGAUCUACUUCGAUCCUAAGUCUUAACUCGGGAUACCGGACGGUGGGUAUAUCCAUCAAAUUGAUCCAGCAGAACGAAGUGCCUUAAGAAAGGUCGGAAAAGGUCGGAAAAGUUAGGCGGUUGCUUUCUACAGCAUAUGAAACGGCAGCGUGAUCAACUUGUAGCCAUCCUCAGUCCUCACAGUUUCACUGAUUGAUUAGAGAGUAAAUCCGGGCUCUCGGUCAGUGUAGAAAAGGCGGUACGUGAAGUUUUCACCAACCUCGGAACUUGCAGAAGAAGAGGCAGCUUGUCUUCUACCAAGAAGUUACACACUAGUCACCUUUCCGUGCGAUUUGAAAGUAUUAUGGCAUUAAGAAAUUAUUGAAUAUUUGUAGGAAAUUUAGUUUGUUAGAGCCGCUGAACUGUAGAAAAACGUUUUGUGCGCUUAUAAUGUCUUCCUGUCAUCCUGCAUUUUUGGUCAUUUGACUUCGUUAACACUUGGGACAAAAUAAUUUAACUGAAAUACCUAUUACUGUUCGAGCUGGAUGAAAUGUUUUGAUGACUUCAGAUCAUUAUGUAUCCCGGACCAGUUUUUAACUAUUUUCAUAAACAUCUGCAUGACUUUUGUUCCGACGAAAACUUUUAUUUCCCCUUUUCUAUCAAACUGCCUCCUUUCUAGGGUGUUUUAUAGACUUUCUCGAUUCGAUUCUUAUAUAUUUACUUUUGAAAUUUGAGAUUGAGUAUUAUUCCUUUAGUUUCACUCCCUGCUUUGUCCAUGUUUUCUCCUUAUCCUUCAUAGAAGAAGAUUCACUUAUACCUUUCAAUUUUUAACAAUUAAUGUGUACAUAUCCUCCCCUCUCUUUUUUGUGUGUGUUCCGUGUGCGUAUUUUUUUCGUCAGGACUGGAGAGAUUGCAAGUUGUGAUGAGGGAAUGUGCUGUCUUAAGAAGUUUUAAAAAAGAAAACGAGUUCCAGGAAGGAUUUAAAUGUGUGUAACCCCUUCACACUCGUUUUUCUCCGGCGUGUUGGAGUAAACGAUGGAUAAACUAA